UACGUAGGGUGCAAGCGUUGUCCGGAAUCAUUGGGCGUAAAGCGCGUGUAGGCGGCCCGAUAAGUCCGCUGUGAAAGUCCAGGGCUCAACCCUGGGAUGCCGGUGGAUACUGUCGGGCUCGAGUCCGGAAGAGGCGAGUGGAAUUCCUGGUGUAGCGGUGAAAUGCGCAGAUAUCAGGAAGAACACCAAUGGCGAAGGCAGCUCUCUGGGACGGUACUGACGCUGAGACGCGAAAGCGUGGGGAGCGAACAGG
RNAcentral lists this ribosomal RNA (253 nucleotides) under uncultured bacterium. Its description in RNAcentral is "partial 16S ribosomal RNA". It matches the Rfam family "Bacterial small subunit ribosomal RNA", at positions 524 to 776 of the family's 1533-position model. The record is from RNAcentral.